AUCAUACUCGCGAACAAAGGUUUUUACCGCCAGACGACGGGCAGGGGGAGUGGCGAUAAUGGAGAGAUCGCGCAUACCGCUCAUCGCCAUAUUCAGCGUCCGCGGGAUCGGCGUCGCCGUGAGCGUCAGAAUAUCGACAUCGGCGCGCAUCGCCUUAAUUCGCUCUUUGUGGCGCACGCCGAAACGGUGCUCUUCAUCGACAAUCAGCAGGCCGAGGUCGUGCAGCUUCACAUCGCUUUGUAGCAGUUUAUGCGUACCGAUCAGAAUAUCGAUCUUACCCUCGGCGGCUUCCGCCAGGAUUUGCGUCUGCUCUUUGGCGCUGCGAAAGCGGGACAGCAUCUCAAUGC
This 347-nucleotide unclassified non-coding RNA is filed under the name uncultured fungus. RNAcentral's name for it is "partial internal transcribed spacer 1". Lineage: Eukaryota; Fungi. The record is from RNAcentral.